This is a non-coding RNA of Manis javanica (Malayan pangolin), 161 nucleotides long. The record is from RefSeq and is a predicted model, not a curated record. NCBI's taxonomy places the organism in Eukaryota, Metazoa, Chordata, Mammalia, Pholidota, Manidae.
CGUGACUUCACCACAGGUUUGUGCCAUACUGUAGCCAUCCCCGCUUCACCAUGGAUGCUCAAGCAAGUCCUGGUCAGUCACCGCACUCCAGCUCCGACCCCAGCGUCUGUGCAUUUUAGGUACAAGGCCAAGUAGAAGCAAUUAAAAGGAACUAAACCCAG